This 581-nucleotide ribosomal RNA is filed under the name Amphidinium massartii. RNAcentral describes it as "partial Bacterial large subunit ribosomal RNA". It matches the Rfam family "Bacterial large subunit ribosomal RNA", at positions 812 to 1394 of the family's 2925-position model. The record is from RNAcentral. Lineage: Eukaryota; Dinophyceae; Amphidiniales; Amphidiniaceae.
UGGGUAGGGGUGAAAGGCCAAUCAAACCGGGAGAUAGCUCGUACUCCCCGAAAUGCUUUUAGGAGCAGCCUCGGGAGAUGUUUCACGGAGGUAGAGCUACUGAUAGGGCUAGGGGGCUUCACCGCCUACCAAACCCUGAUAAACUCCGAAUGCCGUGAAAUUAUCCCGGGAGUGAGGGAUAGGGUGCUAAGGUCCUAUUCCGAGAGGGAAACAACCCAGACCAUCAGCUAAGGUCCCUAAAUAUGCGUUGAGUUAAACUAACGAGGUCUGACUGCAGAGACAGCUAGGAUGUUGGCUUGGAAGCAGCCAUUCAUUUAAAGAGUGCGUAACAGCUCACUAGUCGAGCGGUCGGGCGUGGAUAAUAAUCGGGUAUAAGCGCAUUACCGAAGCUAUGGUCCCGUACUUUUACGGGAGGUAGGGGAGCAUUCCGUCGGCGCGGAAGCCGAGCCGUGAGGCUUGGUGGAGCUUACGGAAAAGCAAAUGUAGGCAUAAGUAACGAUAAAGCAGGUGAGAAACCUGCUCGCCGCAAGACUAAGGUUUCCUGAUCAACGCUAAUCGGAUCAGGGUUAGCCGGGACCUAA